RNAcentral lists this ribosomal RNA (429 nucleotides) under Chloroflexota bacterium. Its description in RNAcentral is "Chloroflexi bacterium partial 16S ribosomal RNA". It matches the Rfam family "Bacterial small subunit ribosomal RNA", at positions 355 to 776 of the family's 1533-position model. The record is from RNAcentral. Lineage: Bacteria; Bacillati; Chloroflexota.
UAGGGAAUCUUCGGCAAUGGACGAAAGUCUGACCGAGCAACGCCGCGUGAGUGAAGAAGGUUUUCGGAUCGUAAAACUCUGUUGUUAGAGAAGAACAAGGACGUUAGUAACUGAACGUCCCCUGACGGUAUCUAACCAGAAAGCCACGGCUAACUACGUGCCAGCAGCCGCGGUAAUACGGAGGGUGCAAGCGUUAAUCGGAAUUACUGGGCGUAAAGCGAACGCAGGCGGUCUGUCAAGUCGGAUGUGAAAUCCCCGAGCUCAACCUGGGAACUGCAAUCGAAACUGGCAGGCGAGAGUCUUGUAGAGGGGGGUAGAAUUCCAGGUGUAGCGGUGAAAUGCGUAGAGAUCUGGAGGAAUACCGGUGGCGGAGGCGGCCCCAUGGACAAAGACUGACGCUCAGGUGCGAAAGCGUGGGGAGCAAACAGG